This 232-nucleotide ribosomal RNA is filed under the name Vibrio parahaemolyticus. RNAcentral's name for it is "partial 23S ribosomal RNA". It matches the Rfam family "Bacterial large subunit ribosomal RNA", at positions 176 to 455 of the family's 2925-position model. The record is from RNAcentral. Lineage: Bacteria; Pseudomonadati; Pseudomonadota; Gammaproteobacteria; Vibrionales; Vibrionaceae.
GAGGCGAACCGGGGGAACUGAAACAUCUAAGUACCCCGAGGAAAAGAAAUCAACCGAGAUUCCGAAAGUAGCGGCGAGCGAAAUUGGACUAGCCCUUAAGCUUUACACGCGUUAGACGAACGGUCUGGAAAGUCCGACGAUACAGGGUGAUAGUCCCGUAGUUGACGACGUGUGUUCAGUGAAAUCGAGUAGGGCGGGACACGUGAUAUCCUGUCUGAAUAUGGGGGGACCA